ACAAAAACAUCGCCUCUUGAUAAUAAUAAGAGGUCUCGCCUGCCCAGUGACAAACUUCAACGGCCGCGGUACCCUAACCGUGCAAAGGUAGCAUAAUCACUUGUUCUUUAAAUAAGGACUCGUAUCAAUGGCAUCACGAGGGUUGCACUGUCUCCCCCCUCCAAUCAGUGAAACUGAUCUCUCCGUGAAAAAGCGGGGAUAAAACUAUAAGACGAGAAGACCCCGUGGAGCUUUAAACCAACAGCAAUUUAGUAAAAAUUUCCUUUCAGCUGCAAAACCAUGCUAACGGCUUUGGGUUGGGGUGACCAUGGAGUAAAAUUUAACCUCCGUGUCGAAAAGAUAAUCUUAACCUAAGAAUUACUAUUCUAAGAAUUAGAAAACUAACGAACUAUGACCCGAUUAUCGAUCAACGAACCAAGUUACCCCGGGGAUAACAGCGCAAUCUACUUCAAGAGUCCUUAUCGACAAGUAGGCUUACGACCUCGAUGUUGGAUCAGGGUAUCCUAGUGGUGCAGCCGCUACUAAAGGUUCGUUUGUUCAACGAUUAAAACCCUACGUGAUCUGAG
This 566-nucleotide ribosomal RNA is filed under the name Raorchestes menglaensis (Mengla small treefrog). RNAcentral's name for it is "partial large subunit ribosomal RNA". It matches the Rfam family "Bacterial large subunit ribosomal RNA", at positions 1807 to 2609 of the family's 2925-position model. Lineage: Eukaryota; Metazoa; Chordata; Amphibia; Anura; Rhacophoridae. The record is from RNAcentral.